CAGACGUGAUCUCGGCAAAUCCCUGAG
Molecule: ribosomal RNA, 27 nt
Filed under: Rhytidium rugosum
Lineage: Eukaryota; Viridiplantae; Streptophyta; Bryopsida; Hypnales; Rhytidiaceae
Description: partial 25S ribosomal RNA
Source: RNAcentral